This 254-nucleotide ribosomal RNA is filed under the name uncultured bacterium. RNAcentral describes it as "partial 16S ribosomal RNA". It matches the Rfam family "Bacterial small subunit ribosomal RNA", at positions 524 to 776 of the family's 1533-position model. The record is from RNAcentral.
UCCGUAGGGGGCGAGCGUUACCCGGAUUUACUGGGCGUAAAGAGCGUGUAGGCGGCUGGCCAAGCGUGAUGUGAAAUCUUCGGGCUUAACCCGAAAACUGCAUUGCGAACUGGUCUGGCUAGAGUGUGUGAGAGGGUAGUGGAAUUCCCGGUGUAGCGGUGAAAUGCGUAGAGAUCGGCAGGAACACCCAGGGGGAAACCAGCCGACUGGGCAUUUGCUGACGCUGAGGUGCGAGAGCGUGGGGAGCGAACCGG